AAUCAACGCUGGCGGCGUGCCUAACACAUGCAAGUCGCACGAGAAAGGGACUUCGGUCCUGAGUACAGUGGCGCACGGGUGAGUAACACGUGAAUAAUCUACCUUCGAGUGGGGAAUAACUGAGAGAAAUCUUAGCUAAUACCGCAUAAUACCCACGGGUCAAAGCAGCAAUGCGCUUGAAGAGGAGUUCGCGGCAGAUUAGUUAGUUGGCAGGGUAAUGGCCACCAAGACGAUGAUCUGUAUCCGGCCUGAGAGGGCGCACGGACACACUGGAACUGAAACACGGUCCAGACUCCUACGGGAGGCAGCAGUGGGGUAAUUUUGCGCAAGUAGGGGGAAACCCUGACGCAGCAACGCCGCGUGGAGGAU
Molecule: ribosomal RNA, 369 nt
Filed under: uncultured bacterium
Lineage: Bacteria
Description: bacterial SSU rRNA
Rfam family: Bacterial small subunit ribosomal RNA
Source: RNAcentral